RNAcentral lists this ribosomal RNA (502 nucleotides) under uncultured bacterium. RNAcentral's name for it is "partial 16S ribosomal RNA". It matches the Rfam family "Bacterial small subunit ribosomal RNA", at positions 28 to 507 of the family's 1533-position model. The record is from RNAcentral.
GACGAACGCUGGUGGCGUGCCUAAUACAUGCAAGUCGAACGAACCGCGACUAGGUGCUUGCACUUGGUCAAGGUGAGUGGCGAACGGGUGAGUAACACGUGGGUAACCUACCUCAUAGUGGGGGAUAACAGUCGGAAACGACUGCUAAUACCGCAUAGGACAUAGGAUCACAUGAUUCUGUGAGGAAAGGUGGCGCAAGCUAUCGCUAAGAGAUGGACCCGCGGUGCAUUAGCUAGUUGGUAGGGUAAAGGCCUACCAAGGCGAUGAUGCAUAGCCGACCUGAGAGGGUGAUCGGCCACAUUGGGACUGAGACACGGCCCAAACUCCUACGGGAGGCAGCAGUAGGGAAUCCUCCGCAAUGGACGCAAGUCUGACGGAGCAACGCCGCGUGAGUGAAGAAGGUCUUCGGAUCGUAAAGCUCUGUUGUUAGAGAAGAACAGCGCAUAGAGUAACUGUUAUGCGUGUGACGGUAUCUAACCAGAAAGCCACGGCUAACUACGUG